CCAGACUCCUACGGGAGGCAGCAGUGGGGAAUAUUGGGCAAUGGACGCAAGUCUGACCCAGCAACGCCGCGUGAAGGAAGAAGGCUUUCGGGUUGUAAACUUCUUUUAAGGGGGAAGAGCAGAAGACGGUACCCCUUGAAUAAGCCACGACUAACUACGUGCCAGCAGCCGCGGUAAUACGUAGGGGGCAAGCGUUAUCCGGAUUUACUGGGUGUAAAGGGAGCGUAGACGGCAGUGCAAGUCUGAAGUGAAAGCCCCGGGCUUAACCCGGGAACUGCUUUGGAAACUGUACGGCUGGAGUGCUGGAGAGGUAAGCGGAAUUCCUAGUGUAGCGGUGAAAUGCGUAGAUAUUAGGGGGAACACCAGUGGCGAAGGCGGCUUACUGGACAGUAACUGACGUUGAGGCUCGAAAGCGUGGGGAGCAAACAGGAUUAGAUACCCCAGUA
RNAcentral lists this ribosomal RNA (446 nucleotides) under uncultured bacterium. Its description in RNAcentral is "bacterial SSU rRNA". It matches the Rfam family "Bacterial small subunit ribosomal RNA", at positions 331 to 792 of the family's 1533-position model. The record is from RNAcentral.